Molecule: ribosomal RNA, 497 nt
Filed under: uncultured bacterium
Lineage: Bacteria
Description: partial 16S ribosomal RNA
Rfam family: Bacterial small subunit ribosomal RNA
Source: RNAcentral
GAUGAACGCUGGCGGCGUGCCUAAUACAUGCAAGUCGAGCGAACAGACGAGGAGCUUGCUCCUCUGACGUUAGCGGCGGACGGGUGAGUAACACGUGGAUAACCUACCUAUAAGACUGGGAUAACUUCGGGAAACCGGAGCUAAUACCGGAUAAUAUAUUGAACCGCAUGGUUCAAUAGUGAAAGACGGUUUUGCUGUCACUUAUAGAUGGAUCCGCGCCGCAUUAGCUAGUUGGUAAGGUAACGGCUUACCAAGGCAACGAUGCGUAGCCGACCUGAGAGGGUGAUCGGCCACACUGGAACUGAGACACGGUCCAGACUCCUAAGGGAGGCAGCAGUAGGGAAUCUUGCGCAAUGGGCGAAAGCCUGACGGAGCAACGCCGCGUGAGUGAUGAAGGUCUUCGGAUCGUAAAACUCUGUUAUUAGGGAAGAACAAAUGUGUAAGUAACUAUGCACGUCUUGACGGUACCUAAUCAGAAAGCCACGGCUAACUACGUG